Molecule: ribosomal RNA, 253 nt
Filed under: uncultured bacterium
Lineage: Bacteria
Description: partial 16S ribosomal RNA
Rfam family: Bacterial small subunit ribosomal RNA
Source: RNAcentral
UACAGAGGGGGCAAGCGUUGUUCGGAAUUACUGGGCGUAAAGGGCGCGUAGGCGGCCUGCUAAGUCGAACGUGAAAUCCCUGGGCUCAACCCAGGAACUGCGUCCGAUACUGGUUGGCUUGAAUCCGGGAGAGGGAUGUGGAAUUCCAGGUGUAGCGGUGAAAUGCGUAGAUAUCUGGAGGAACACCGGUGGCGAAGGCGGCAUCCUGGACCGGCAUUGACGUUGAGGCGCGAAAGCCAGGGGAGCAAACGGG